This 198-nucleotide long non-coding RNA is filed under the name Sus scrofa (pig). RNAcentral's name for it is "lncRNA (ENSSSCG00070023734.1)". The record is from RNAcentral. Lineage: Eukaryota; Metazoa; Chordata; Mammalia; Artiodactyla; Suidae.
CUUGCAGAACAGUGGUUCCUGGGUGACUUUGUAAGGCAGUGCUGCCUUUUCAGCCCUAUUAGAAUACUCUGAGGCUGUUACAAGAAAAAGAAAUAACUUUUCUCUUAGUAAGCAAGAAUGGCCUUUGACUCAAGCUUAGAUGAAGAUACCCUGCACAGGACAUUGAGGGCUUUGUGAUGGCAACAGGAAAAGCCCGAG